GAAGAGCUAACUGGCCCCCUGCCCAAGUCUUUAUGGCCAGUUCAAGGGCCACCUACUUCAGGGAGUGCCGUGAUGGUGCUGGUGUUAUAGUGAGGAUGCAGCUGAGAUCCCACCAUGGAUCUGCCUCAUUCAAUCCUCCCAGUAAUCCUCAGUGACCAUGGCUACCAUUGCCCAUUUUGCCCACUAAGGAGACAGAGGCCCCAGAGCGUGGGGUCAUCUCACAGAGCAGUGGCAGGACCAGGAUGGAGCACACUUCCUCUGCCCCUCUUCUGGGUGCUUCCCUCCUGCCCUGAACUGGAGGGAGGUACCCCACGCGUCCAUGCUUGCAGCCACUGCAGUACAUCCGCAAGGACGCACAGGUGACCCACCUGGAACCUCAGGCCCCAGUCCCACCCGCUCACCUGCCUUUCUCCUCACUGCAGCCUCCGGCCUAGGCUCCCCAGCCCAGGCCCCUCCUCCAGGCGCGCCUGGGCCCCUCAGCCCAGGCCCUGGCCGGCUACAAGUGCAGGAAGUCAGAACUUCCCCUCACCACAAGUUCCUGUUUGGAGGAGACAGAAGCCAAAGGAAACCACCACCCCUUCAGAGCUGGAAACAGGGGAUCUCAGUCACGAAGCACCCCAUCACCAGGCUCCAGAUCUUCAGAGGCCUGCCUCCAGGAUGGGCUCCUAGCACUGCCACAGGAUGAUGCCUACUUUACAGUUGUUCAAGCUAAGCACGUGACAAGUACUCAGUGAAGGGAGACACCGGGGAUCGCUGUUAGCCCUAUCUGUACGGCAGGUUUGUGAUGACCUAGUUGGAACGUCUAGAUCCCGUGGUCCCCUGUGCGAGAUGGGGUGGGGGUGGGGGUGUCACUGGUUGCUAUGAGGAUUCCAGGAAGCCUGAGGGAUACACUGUACCCCUGGCCAGAUGUCUCCACAGCUAGCGCUGGUGAGUUCUGACUCCCACCUGCCCCUCCACCAGCUGGGCUGUUCACACCCCCACCCUCUGGGCCACCCCCUGCUGGGCCCCUCCCCAGGACCAGAGCUGCCGGGCUCAGGGCCCACCCACCAGCCCAGAUAGUGUAUUCCCCUCCGGCAAGCGCCCACUCACCGAUCCCGUGAGUCUGCAGGUGCCGCUGCACCUCUCCAGGUGUCGGGCUGGCCCCCAGGCACCUCAUCACCACCAUGAGGUCAGUGGCUUUUAUCUUCCCCCGCUGCUGCUUGUCAUACAGGGAGAAGCAUUCCUUGUACUCUGUGCACAGCCCAGAAGAGAGAGUCAGCCGCACAUACUUGCUCUCCACCCCCAUGCCCUCUCUGUCCUCCCUUUCCCUUCCCUCCCCCUUCCUUUUGCUGACUCCCUCUCCUCCUCCCUUCUUAGAGUUGCCAGAUACAGCAAAUGAAAAUACAGGGCUGCCAUAUCCUAUUGACUAGAAGCAAGUUACGGUUUCCACCGACACUCAGGGGUAGGGGAUCAUACUGGAACAUGAUUACUAGGAGAUGGGGAUCCUGAGGGCUGCACUAACAUCUAUCCAACACACCACGUGUUGCAAAGAAUCUAGGGUGACCAUGUAUGUACAUCCUGCUAGACAUGCACCAGGGGCUUUCUGCUUUCAGUGCGUCAUGUGUUGUCUGUGCUAUUCUGUGACAAUAUUUGUCGUAGCAUUGCUUGUUAUAGUAGAAGAUUGGAAACAACCUAACUAUAUAUCAAUGGAAGAUUGGCUAAAUAUAUUACAUUAUAGUCAUAGCAUGGACUAUUUUGCAGCUGUUUAAAAAAAAUGAAGCAGAAUCAUAUACACAAAUCAAAACAAUCUCCAAGAACAGAGCUAAGUAAGACUAAGGCAAAGGACAUAAUAGUCCAUCUAAUAUGCUGCCAUUUGUGUUAAAAUAAAUAACGGGGGAAAGGGAGAGAAAUACCACUUAAUGAUAUAAAUAAUUGGAAAAAUUGCCUGAAGGAAAAUGGAAGACUGAGGAAUAGGAAUGGGAGAGAAACUUUACACUGGAUAUAUUUUUUACUUAUUUUUUAACUAUGUGUAUCCUGCCUAUUCACAAAAAGAGUAAUAAGAAUUUUUUAAGGAAAAAAAAUUACAGGGCUGCCAAGUUAAACUGAACUUCUGAUAAACAGUGAAUACGUUUUUAGUAUCAGUAUAUCCUGCAUUUUGCAUGGGAUAUACUUAUACUAAAAGGUUUUUGCUGUUUAUCUGAAAUCCAGAUUUAACUGGGUGUCCGGUAUUUUAUCUGGCAACCCUAUCACCCUCCUUCUCCUGACUUCCCUUCUGUCUCCUCCCUCGCUCUCCCUUCCUGCCUCUCCCUCUUCCCUUCCUUCUCUUUUCUCUUCUCUUUUCUCCCCCUCCUUAACUGAAUAAAACCAGAGGAAAGCAAUCCUACCCUCCAGGGCCAGCCCAUGGAGACCAGGAAUCUACAGCAGGGCGUCCAGGCUCCAGGGCACCUUGGCAAAGACAGCUUAUGUGGGAAACCAGGGAAAUAAUGCCUCCGGGUUACUGAGAGGAGCAGAAAUCCCUUCUGGGAAGGCCUGGCAGAGAAUGGCUGUCCUAUGUGGCGACAGUUACUGUCACAACUGUGGGCACUGCUGUGUCCACUCUCCAGCCCGCUGCCUCCAGGCUGCCGAGCCCUCAAGCUGUCCUCUGACACAAGCCCUGGUCCUGUUCUCAAAGACUUCAAGGGGUGCUGCCGGGACGUUGUCCCAGGCUCUGACUAAAUCUGGCUUGCUGCUGUCCUCAACCCUUCCUGCCUGGGGGAGACACAAUGGCUGCCAGAGCUGAGGCUUCUCUAGACCCAGUCUCAAGGCCCAGGGGAGCCCCGCUCUCAGCCCUGAGGGCACAGUGAGGCCAGCAGGGAGCUGGGGAAGAUCCUGGGCCCCACCACUGAGAUUCCCAUUCAGGCUGGGUGGGGGCUGCCAUCAGAAUUGGUCAAAAGCUGCCCGGGGGGCUCUCCAAUCCCUGAGGCCCACAGGGUGGUGCACCCCCCAUCGGGGCCUCUCAGCAUCCAGCUCCUCUGUUCCUCAUACCACCUGGCUGGUGCCUCAGAGGCUGGGCCCUAGGCUCCCUACCUGUAAUAAUAAUAACAAAAAAAUGGCGGCUUACAGUACUGAGCACUUCACCUGGGCCCGGUUCAUCCUGCAAUGACCCUGUGAUGCACCACGUGGUACCUCUACCCUUCCCAUUGUGUAGAGGGGGCCACUGAAGGCUGGGCGGCUGAGGGCCUGGCUCCUGAAGUUCAGCUCCACCCUCGAGGCCACUCUGGAUCCCAGAUUCCCAGGCAGAGGCCACCAGAGGGCAGAAGGGGAUGAGGGGAGAGGGACGGAAGGUCCCCAGUUCAGCCCCUUCAGUUCCCCGAUUAAGGCCUCUCCUUGCAGCCUAGGAUUUCAGCAGAGCUGCUAAUAAAAGGCAGCCUCCCCGGUGGGGUUUAGAGACAAUUAGUUGCCUUUGUGCCUGUGGAGAGGUUGAAGGGGAAGGCCUAGCCCUUUCAGAACUUUCCAGAGCCUGGGCUCGGAGAGGGCCAGAACACAUAUGUGACCAGGGAGCAGAAACUGAAGUGUCCCAGGGAAGCAGCACCAGAGCCUGGCCUAAGAUCCCGCCUUUGGUUCCUGCAAAACCUAACUCCCUCCAAGAGGGCCCAGUGCCAUCACCUUAUAUGGAGGGAUAGAGCGGGGGCUGCCCUGCACGUAGGCCUUCAAACUCCCACAGCGCCCUUCCUGGGGACCUCCCACGGCCACCCCACCUUGUCUUCUGUCAGUUUGCCCUCUGAGACCUCAUCCUAUGACAGCUUUUCAGACCAGUGCUGCAAGGCAGUCAUCACAGGUCAUGGGGCCUGGAAUCAGACAGAUUCUACAGAUGGGCAAACUUUCUCUCCCACUUGGAUCAGUAACUGGGACGGUGCCCCUGACAUCAGCAGGGCUAGGGGCAAAUGGAGUCCCAUCGCCUAAUAGACUGUUUCAUAAAAUACGUUCUUUCUUCCCACCUUGACAAAUAUACCAUCGAAAGAUCUGGAAGGCCAGAUCUGAACUGGAUCUCCCGUGCUGGAACAAAACAGCAAGGCUGUUACAUUUAUUUCCCAAUAAAUGUAAUGUCGCUAAAUCUGAUAAGUGAGCUACUGUUACACUAUUUCUCACCCUUGGACAGAUUACAUUCAUGAAACUGAACCCUCUUUCAAAUCUUCAGCACUACUGAUUGCAAUAGGGCUAUUUUAAAACAUUUGCUGUAUAGAUGCAGGGAUUGGAAGGAACACUGUUUGAUGCUACAUUACUCAGUAAUGGCUCAUUUCAACAACCAGCUCAGAGUACUCCUAAAAUUAUACCACCUGGCUCAUGCUAGUUAGAGCAAGUCUGGGUGACACCGGCCCGAGGCAGGCCCAGGGUCAUGUGUAUGAUGACCUCCUCUCUGUCCCUUGCUCACAGCAGCCUAGUGAGUCAGCGUCAUUCUCCCUACUUCACAGAUGAGAACACUGAGGCUCAGGGGUGACUGGACCCCAGGUCACUGCCUCCAAAACCCCUGGCCUUUCCACUCCAGUGGGCCACAUCUGCCCAAUCUCUCAUUUAUUAAGCAUUAGUGGCCACUUUCUCGGUGUCGGGUACUGGGAUGCAAAGGGAGGAUUUCCUUCUUCCCUUCUGGGAGCUCCACAGGUCACUGAGCCUCGGAACCAGGCGUGGGUUGGUAGAGGGGGGUUCACGAGACUGACAGCUGGACCCCAGCCUUGAGUCAACAUUCAGUCUGCCCUUCAGACUUGGGCAAGAGAGGUCCCUGCUCUGGCCCUCCUCUUGGGGUGAGCAUGUCGAGCGAUCUAAGACCAGGUGCACUCCUGGAGCCUGCAACCCACCCACCCACUCUAGACCAAGCUCCGGGGACCUAGAACUCUAGAAUCCCUGCCCAAGGAACCCUAAGCACACCUCCGGCUCCUGCAGUUGCUAGCUGGGCUCUGCUGCCCACCCCCUGGCUCAGGUCCGGGCCCCUGAGUUCUAUGUAAGCCAGAUCUCCCCUCCUGGCCUUGUGGACACACCACGCUGUGCUGUGCUGUGCCAACACUGAGGCCGGCUGGGUGGCAGGCGGGCUAGGGGACUUAGGGAGUAAAUGCUCCAAAACUAGGCUGGCUGUCAGGGCACAGGUGACCUCAGAGGCCACCUUAGCCGAUCCCCGUUUCACAGAUGGGGAGACUGAGGCCCAGAGAGCAGAAGUGCCUGCCCAAGAGUGCAGACCAGGGCUCUUUUGCCUCUCAGCUCCUUUUGUUUGACUCUCAGCCAUAAGCAGUUAAUGACCGCACUCUCCACCUCCUAUCCCUCCUCCCAAAUCUAGCUAUCAGAUCCCCGGAGAAAAACCUCCAGGGCGCCCGCUCCUAUCUCCCUAACUUGUAAGUCACACCGACAAAUGUCAUAGCAACACUUCCACCUCUGAGCCCUACCCCCACCUUCUCAGCUGUGGUGUCCCCGGCAGCAGGCGGCCCCUUGCCUGUGGGUGGGCCUGGCUCUCCCACCAGCCGCUUUCCUCCCCACCGAUAAAAAAAACAAAACAAAACAAAAAAAACGGGCAGAGCAAAUUGCCUAAUGAGACCCAUAUUUUGCUGUGAGUUGCUAAUUAAAGAGCAAAGCCAACCUACCAUUAAUUUGGUCCUGGGAAAGAAACUUGGCCUGUAGCAGAGAGAGGAGAACAGUCAGGGAGGGGACUCCAGGAAAGCGCCUCCCACCCCCCAGUGCGGGGGGGGGGGCAGCCUAGCUGGAAGACACAGCCCCCUACUCACCAUCGCGGGGCCUCAGGCUGUCGCCUGUGGGCUCCCGGCUCCCACAACCGCCUGUUCUGUCCCUCUCCUCCCGGCUCCAAGUCGAAAGUCCGCCAAGCUGGGUGGAGGCCCCAGUAAUAAAUCCGCGGCUGCCAUGGAGACCAGGCCCAGUGCCCGGGUCAGAUUCCAGCUUCCCCGAGCACAGCUGAUGCCCCGCCACCGCCCGGCCAGGGCGACAGGUUUCACUUCGAGAAAAUGAGGCUGCGGAAAGAGCUCCCCCAGGACUCGUCCUGCAUCAGGACGCUGAUGCUCUGUAGCAAACGGACACGUGCCCUGGUUCCUUCCUGGGAGCCCUCCGUGGACACCGGGAAAGUGUCGGGCUCCCCAAGUUGUAGAAGCUUCAGCCCCCACACAACCAGGCCCGUGCCUGCUCACGAGACCUCCCGCAAAGCUGUGCCGUGGAGAACAGGCCAGAGGCAGGGCUGGAAGGAGCGGUGUCCUCGAGGCGAGGAAGGA
Molecule: long non-coding RNA, 6221 nt
Organism: Felis catus (domestic cat)
Lineage: Eukaryota; Metazoa; Chordata; Mammalia; Carnivora; Felidae
Exons: 3
Source: RefSeq, a predicted model, not a curated record